RNAcentral lists this ribosomal RNA (301 nucleotides) under uncultured bacterium. RNAcentral's name for it is "partial 16S ribosomal RNA". It matches the Rfam family "Bacterial small subunit ribosomal RNA", at positions 509 to 809 of the family's 1533-position model. The record is from RNAcentral.
CAGUAGCCGCGGGAAUACGUAGGGUGCAAGCGUUGUCCGGAAUUAUUGGGCGUAAAGAGCUCGUAGGCGGUUUGUCGCGUCUGCUGUGAAAUCCCGAGGCUCAACCUCGGGCUUGCAGUGGGUACGGGCAGACUAGAGUGCGGUAGGGGAGAUUGGAAUUCCUGGUGUAGCGGUGGAAUGCGCAGAUAUCAGGAGGAACACCGAUGGCGAAGGCAGAUCUCUGGGCCGUAACUGACGCUGAGGAGCGAAAGCGUGGGGAGCGAACAGGAUUAGAUACCCCUGUAGUCCCUGUCUCUUAUAA